UGGGGAAUAUUGGACAAUGGGCGAAAGCCUGAUCCAGCCAUGCCGCGUGAGUGAAGAAGGCCUUCGGGUUGUAAAGCUCUUUUAGUCGGAAAGAAAGAGUUGCAAUGAAUAAUUGUGAUUUAUGACGGUACCGACAGAAAAAGCACCGGCUAACUACGUGCCAGCAGCCGCGGUAAUACGUAGGGUGCGAGCGUUAAUCGGAAUUACUGGGCGUAAAGGGUGCGCAGGCGGUCUUGCAAGUCAGAUGUGAAAGCCCCGGGCUUAACCUGGGAAUUGCGUUUGAAACUACAAGGCUAGAGUGCAGCAGAGGGGAGUGGAAUUCCAUGUGUAGCAGUGAAAUGCGUAGAGAUGUGGAAGAACACCGAUGGCGAAGGCAGCUCCCUGGGUUGACACUGACGCUCAUGCACGAAAGCGUGGGGAGCAAACA
RNAcentral lists this ribosomal RNA (427 nucleotides) under uncultured beta proteobacterium. Its description in RNAcentral is "bacterial SSU rRNA". It matches the Rfam family "Bacterial small subunit ribosomal RNA", at positions 355 to 774 of the family's 1533-position model. The record is from RNAcentral. Lineage: Bacteria; Pseudomonadati; Pseudomonadota; Betaproteobacteria.